This 97-nucleotide unclassified non-coding RNA is filed under the name Epilithonimonas lactis. RNAcentral describes it as "Chryseobacterium halperniae Flavo-1 RNA". The record is from RNAcentral. Lineage: Bacteria; Pseudomonadati; Bacteroidota; Flavobacteriia; Flavobacteriales; Weeksellaceae.
UUGCAGCCCGACUUGAACGGAGCACUUUUUCUGAAAAAAUGGAUGGGAAAUGCGCUGGUUUUUUCAGAAAAAAGCGGGAGUGGAAGGCGGAUAAAGC